ACAAGCUGUAAGUUUGGAACCAAAUAUCAAAAAUACAAACUAUGGCGUCGUUUUGCCUGAAGACAGUUUUACUAUUAAUGUUCUUCACCUACUUAACUUCUACAGAUGCUCAAACUUGACCACCACCUACUAAAGGUGCCCGCGCUGCCCUUUGCGGAGCACAAUUGAAACAACUACAGGCCAGUGUAGAACUGAAGGUUGAAAGAAAGAGAGACAUAAGGAGUGAAGAUGAAAUUAUCGACCGAUUGCUGGCAAAGAAGAAUUAGGAGGAACCUUGGCAGAGACUGUUGAAGACAAGUGCAAUAAUUUAAAAAAAAAGGAUGAUUAACAGAUUAAGUGUAUAUGAUUACCAAAGUAUAAUUUGCAAUAUUUUCGGGUGGUAAGGCAAUUGAUUUAAAAUAUUUGAUCGUGCAUCCUUCGAUCCGGUUUCGUCUCACCAAAUGACGGUUCAACCGUUCAAUGUUGUCUG
Molecule: long non-coding RNA, 469 nt
Organism: Dendronephthya gigantea
Lineage: Eukaryota; Metazoa; Cnidaria; Anthozoa; Malacalcyonacea; Nephtheidae
Exons: 4
Source: RefSeq, a predicted model, not a curated record